AGCAUCACAGAGGGUGAGAAUCCCGUCUUUGACACGGACUACCAGUGCAUUGUGGUUGUGCUCUCAACGAGUCGAGUUGUUUGGGAAUGCAGCUCUAAAUGGGUGGUAAAUUCCAUCUAAAGCUAAAUAUUGGCGAGAGACCGAUAGCGAACAAGUACCGUGAGGGAAAGAUGAAAAGAACUUUGGAAAGAGAGUUAAACAGUAUGUGAAAUUGUUGAAAGGGAAACGUUUGAAGUCAGUCGUGUUGGCUGGGGAUCAACCUGACUUAUUGUUAGGUGUAUUUCCUGGUUGACGGGCCAACAUCAGUUUUGACUGCCAGAAAAAGGCCAAGGGAAUGUGGCACCUUUGGGUGUGUUAUAGCUUUUGGUCGUAUGUGGUGGUUGGGACUGAGGACAGCAGUGCGCCGCAAUGGCAGGGUUUCGACCACAUUCGCACUGAGGAUGUUGGCAUAAUGGCUUUAAGCGACCCGUCUUGAAACACGGACCAAGGAGUCUAACAUGCAUGCGAGUGUUUGGGUGGAAAACCCUUACGCGUAAUGAAAGUGAAAGUUGAGAUCCCUGUCGUGGGGAGCAUCGACGCCCGGACCAGAACUUUUGGGACGGAUCU
This 606-nucleotide ribosomal RNA is filed under the name Amanita asteropus. Its description in RNAcentral is "eukaryotic LSU rRNA". It matches the Rfam family "Eukaryotic large subunit ribosomal RNA", at positions 199 to 791 of the family's 3401-position model. The record is from RNAcentral. Lineage: Eukaryota; Fungi; Basidiomycota; Agaricomycetes; Agaricales; Amanitaceae.